Long non-coding RNA from Lathyrus oleraceus (garden pea), 1585 nucleotides. RefSeq lists it as uncharacterized. The transcript has 2 exons. The record is from RefSeq and is a predicted model, not a curated record. Lineage: Eukaryota; Viridiplantae; Streptophyta; Magnoliopsida; Fabales; Fabaceae.
UCUAAAUCUAACUAAAAUCACAAUUAAUCAUGAAUUAACCUAAUUACUAGAACUAAUCUACUUAAUCACUAAAACUAUCUUAAUCCUAAUUAAAAAACAAGAAGAAUCUAAAUUUAUCCUAACAAAAGAUAUCAGUGGCAAUACUAAUUAACAAAAAUUAAAUAAAAUCACCAUGAUUAAUUAUGGAUUAAGGAGGAUUAAGGACUAAUAAUGGGCCAGGGUGUGUGUGGAUGAAGGGGUUCAUGAAGGAGGGCUUGUUUGCUUGGGCCAAAGGCUCAAGUCUUCCAUCACAAUUCCGGAUCCCAUGAAGAUCCAAGACGCAUCUUCAUCUUUCAGUCAAAGGAAACAAAUUCUUCCAAUCAACAUCCGGGGGAAUUCACUGACGAAGCAUAACGAAACGGAUUCAGACAUCAUCCACACGCCAUUGCCAUCAACACGUCGUCAACGAGAAUCCGAGGCUCGCUCCGAUCGGAUUCAAAAGUCAAGAACAUCAACGGUACCAAAACGAAUUCGAUUGCACGCAUAUUCGAAAAGAGUGAAGAAGGAGGAACCUACCGGAUUUAUUGACGACUCCAGAUGACGUAUUCGAUUCUUGUUCUUUCGUUCUUCUUCACUUCUUCUAUUUCCGUUCUUCUCCGCUUGUGUUGUCGUGAGAGAGCUGGUUCUUGGAAGGUUGAGGGUGAGCGAGGAAAUUGAAGAUGUUCGAAGAGGGAGUUCUCUUUAUGUUUAUUCUGCAGGGUCAUUUUUUGCAGUGAAGUUUUUUUGGAAAAUUUGUAGGUAUUGUGAGGUUUUUCAGUUGAUGAGGGUGGUGAACUCAGUUCCACUAUGUCAGUUGGAGGAAGCAGUUAGAAAAUGCUGCUGAGUUUUCUGUGGGAGCUUUUUUUUUGGUGUCUGGUUGUUGCAGAGUUAGUUUAGGGUUGAAGCAGGGUGGUUAGGAGAGGUUAUGGAGUUAGAGGUGGUUUGUACUUUGAAGGGUUCAGUUAAAGGUUAUUGAAGUGGUUGAAGUCUUGUUCUGUUAUCAGGUCGUGAAUGAGAGUCUGUUAGGAAACAGUUAGAGGGCUAUUGGUUUUAAUUCAGUUUGCAGGUUGUUGGGAUGUGAUAUAAGGUGUUUUAAUUCUGUUAGGAAACAGUACUAGGAUCUUGGUAAGUUUUUUGUCUCACCACAUAUCAAAUGGUUACUUAUUUGAUUCGGAUGGUCUGAUUUUGUAGCCAUAACGUGACGACUAGGUGUCACGGUGUCCUUGUCUGAAUGCCGCCUGGCUGAGUCCGAAGCAUUGACAACCAACUCACCUUUUUUUUUUAUCUAUGAUACGGUCUUCACCACCUCUGUGAGACUUGUCCAGCUUAAGAGGAUGACUCUUAUUCUUGUUAGGAAGGUUUGGACUUGGCAUGCUUGAUGGAUGAAGUGCAUUACUCACUUGGAGUGCUUAGGAUUUAUUGGAUUCAUGACUGUUUUUUUUGGAUAUUCUUUUGUAGGAUUUGUGUUGAAUGUGAUGGUUUAGAGUAGGGUUUAUGUAAAAAAGUGGAAAUGAUGUAAUGUAUGAUUUUUGUUUUGAAAUUGAAAUGGAAUGGUAUAUGUGUGGUA